AUCCUCAAAGAUUGAGGGAAUAUUGAGGCAUAUGAGCUCACCACAAAAACCAAGAAAUCCUCCCCUUUCUCCCUCAAACUUUCGGCCCCCUCCCCCAUUCUCUCCCUCACACUUUUUUCUUCUUGUUCCUCCAUUUUUGACAAAGGACAAUGCUUCCAAGACUUUCCCUUUUCACACCCACCAACUAAAGAAGUGCCUCAAGCCUUUCCAAACUUCAAGUUCAAGCAUCAAGUAGGAAAAGCUUCAAGAAAUCCUAAGCAUCAUCUAUUCCAUUUUCCUUGGUUUUCUUGGAGUAAGCUGCUAAUAUUCCUUUUGUGGGUAUAUAAGUAUGAUAUGAGUUAUGCAUGUGUGUUUUGAAGCAUGAAAAAUCAUUCCCCUCAUGUUCAUGGAAUUUUCAAAAAACAUGGUCCUUGAGGAAACAAAAAAUUUGCAAGUUAAGCAGCGGUAGGUGGUGAUGAAGUGACAAGCGGGAUUUAUUUUGUCUUAGUCUUAUGUAUUAAUGAACUCUUGGGGGUACAUGUCUUCAUACAUGUAAUCAGAACCCUUAUUCCGCUGUGUACUCAGAAAUCUUAUGUUAUUUUGGCUAAGUCGGAGCUAUUCGAACUUACUAGCUUA
Long non-coding RNA from Salvia miltiorrhiza (redroot sage), 615 nucleotides. RefSeq lists it as uncharacterized. The record is from RefSeq and is a predicted model, not a curated record. NCBI's taxonomy places the organism in Eukaryota, Viridiplantae, Streptophyta, Magnoliopsida, Lamiales, Lamiaceae. The transcript has 2 exons.